This 506-nucleotide ribosomal RNA is filed under the name uncultured bacterium. Its description in RNAcentral is "partial 16S ribosomal RNA". It matches the Rfam family "Bacterial small subunit ribosomal RNA", at positions 29 to 523 of the family's 1533-position model. The record is from RNAcentral.
AGUGAGCGCUGGCGGUAGGCCUAACACAUGCAAGUCGAACGGCAGCACAGGAGAGCUUGCUCUCUGGGUGGCGAGUGGCGGACGGGUGAGGAAUACAUCGGAAUCUACUCUGUCGUGGGGGAUAACGUAGGGAAACUUACGCUAAUACCGCAUACGACCUACGGGUGAAAGCAGGGGAUCUUCGGACCUUGCGCGAUUGAAUGAGCCGAUGUCGGAUUAGCUAGUUGGCGGGGUAAAGGCCCACCAAGGCGACGAUCCGUAGCUGGCCUGAGAGGAUGAUCAGCAACCCUGGAACUGAGACACGGUCCAGACUCCUACGGGAGGCAGCAGUGGGGAAUAUUGGACAAUGGGCGCAAGCCUGAUCCAGCCAUACCGCGUGGGUGAAGAAGGCCUUCGGGUUGUAAAGCCCUUUUGUUGGGAAAGAAAUCCAGCUGGCUAAUACCCGGUUGGGAUGACGGUACCCAAAGAAUAAGCACCGGCUAACUUCGUGCCAGCAGCCGCAGUAA